AAUAGGAAGAGCAAGAAAAGAGGGCCUUGGAACAGUGGGCACGUGAACAUGAUGGAAGGCUAAAGGUCUCACAUCUAAGUUCCUCGUGCAACACUGAAAGAGGCUUUCGUUGAGUUUUCUUGAUGCCUCUCGUGCCUAUUGUUCUUUGGUACUAUUUACUUUCCCUUUUCGGU
Molecule: microRNA precursor, 173 nt
Filed under: Hordeum vulgare
Lineage: Eukaryota; Viridiplantae; Streptophyta; Magnoliopsida; Poales; Poaceae
Description: microRNA MIR2118
Rfam family: MIR2118 microRNA precursor family
Source: RNAcentral